Zeugodacus cucurbitae (melon fly) is the source of this 948-nucleotide long non-coding RNA. RefSeq lists it as uncharacterized. NCBI's taxonomy places the organism in Eukaryota, Metazoa, Arthropoda, Insecta, Diptera, Tephritidae. The record is from RefSeq and is a predicted model, not a curated record. The transcript has 2 exons.
AAUACAUUGAGACUCCCCAUUUUGAUAGAGCUGUUUCAGAUGUGUCAAGAGAAUUUCAAAGAGAAGAGAAUUUCGCCUCUCCUAUAAACCAGUGGUCGGCACGAGAGGAAUUGUGACUGUAUAGGUUAACACCAUAAAUAUAAUACACUAGCAGACCCGGCCACCCGUUUUUGUGGCUAAUAUGUAUAUUAAAUUAAGUUGGUCCAAUCUUGGCUUCGGCGACGAUAUUGAUUACUCGAGGUUGAUUUAUGUUACGCAGCAUGAUAACAACUCACACUACUUUUAAUUGCAAAGUGAGUGGUGAUAGUACAGGCAAUUUUAAAUAGUUUGGGAUAAUUGACUACGUAAUCCUGGUUUGUAGCUGUGUCAACUCUCUUGGACCGAAAUUCUAAAUUGUCGCAUUAAGGUCAUCGAUAUCUUUUUUUUACCACCAAUAUAGGUCUUUCAAUCAGUCAUUUAUGGUUAUCAUAUUGAGGUUUCAUGUCAGGAAAACUUCUCUUUCGAGUCAAUGAAAUGACAGAAAUCUGUUGGAAAUGCUAUUAAUCCAUCGAGGUGUCAACUGCCAACUGCUUCUACAAUCGCAAUUUGAUGUUCUUGCAAAAACACUCAUAUGUUAGUUGUUAAUUGGCGAUUCUUUAUGUGUCGCCACAAAUUAAAUGAUUUUAGGCAUACGAUUAGCCCGUCAGUAACAGUUGAUCCAGGAAUAAUUGGAAGAGUCUGGCGUAAAUCACCUGCUAACUGAAUCCUGGCUCCACUAAAAACGUUCAUCGACAAUCAAGAUCUUUUAAAGUCCUGCGCAGUACCUCCAGCGACUUCUUGAAUAUUUGGAAAAUCUUCGUUAAAGCGAUUUUGCCGACUGGUUUUUCGUUCAUUUGCAAUUUAGGAGUAAUUUCAAGGUCGAAUGUGCCGUUUGUUUGCCUACUAACAGGUGCCAAGAUGCCCCUAUUC